UCUCAUUUUUUUAAUUUUGGCAAAACAAAAUGUCUGGAGACAGGAAUGGAUCAAAUUUGUUAUUUGGGUGGUUUACCUGUUAUACGCAUGUGCAUUAGCACUAAAGGCAGGUUCUCAAUAUGACACAUGCAUGUCCAUCACAACUGGAAAUGCUGUAUGAACCAAUGGGAGCAUAUGUCAAAGCGUCAGAUUAGAAAACAUUUCUAUUCUGAUGCAUUGAUGAAUACUCCCAUUGGUUUAUACAGUACUUCCGGUCAUGACGCUAGCGCAUGAAAAGCAAUGCGUUAUAUUGAGAACCCACCUUAAUAUAAGCUAAUAAUUGCCCUUAUUGACUGCCUUUAAUUAAGUGCUUUUCAUGUUACAUGUAGGUUCUAGGUCCAGUUAUUGCAAUAUAAAGUAAUACAAUGGAAUACUUUCAAAAAAGGUGUUACAGUACUUACAGUACAUUUACAAUUUAU
Amphimedon queenslandica is the source of this 458-nucleotide long non-coding RNA. RefSeq lists it as uncharacterized. The record is from RefSeq and is a predicted model, not a curated record. The transcript has 2 exons. Lineage: Eukaryota; Metazoa; Porifera; Demospongiae; Haplosclerida; Niphatidae.